ACUCAAAUGAAUAGACGGGGGCCCGCACAAGCGGCGGAGCAUGUUGCUUAAUUCGAGGCGACGCGAAGAACCUUACCUGGGCUUGACAUGCAGGGAAAAGCCGUAGAGAUACGGUGUCCUUCGGGGCCCUGCACAGGUGGUGCAUGGUUGUCGUCAGCUCGUGUCGUGAGAUGUUGGGUUAAGUCCCGCAACGAGCGCAACCCUUGUCCUAUGUUGCCAGCGGGUAAUGCCGGGGACUCGUAGGAGACUGCCGGGGUCAACUCGGAGGAAGGUGGGGAUGACGUCAAAUCAUCAUGCCCCUUACGUCCAGGGCUGCAAACAUGCUACAAUGGCCGGUACAAAGGGCUGCUAUUCCGCGAGGAUGAGCGAAUCCCAAAAAGCCGGUCUCAGUUCGGAUCGAAGUCUGCAACUCGACUUCGUGAAGUCGGAGUCGCUAGUAAUCCCGGAUCAGCAACGCCGGGGUGAAUACGUUCCCGGGCCUUGCACACACCGCCCGU
Molecule: ribosomal RNA, 497 nt
Filed under: uncultured bacterium
Lineage: Bacteria
Description: partial 16S ribosomal RNA
Rfam family: Bacterial small subunit ribosomal RNA
Source: RNAcentral